GAUGAAGAACGUAGCGAAAUGCGAUAAGUAGUGUGAAUUGCAGAAUUCCGUGAAUCAUCGAAUCUUUGAACGCACAUUGCGCCUUCUGGUAUUCCGGAAGGCAUGCCUGUUCGAGAGUCAUUAACAACCGUUUCGAUCCCUUUCUUUCAGAAAUUACAAAGAGGAAAAGGGUUUGGUUAUGGUGGAGGAGGGAAAGGGAGCGUUUAGCCUGUAAAAAAAGAGGCUGUGUUCCGCCUCCCCCCCAAAAUUGUACAGGCGGUCGUGUGCGCCCACGCAUCGAGGUGUUGUAAAAGCUGCCACGGCACUUUUCACCUGUGCAGUGCGAGAUUGGCCAGCCGGUUUAAAAACCCCUCCAAACACUCAAAGGUUGACCUCGGAUCAGGUAGGGAUACCCGCUGAACUUAAGCAUAUCAAUAAGCGGAGGA
RNAcentral lists this unclassified non-coding RNA (425 nucleotides) under soil metagenome. RNAcentral's name for it is "partial contains 5.8S ribosomal RNA, internal transcribed spacer 2, and large subunit ribosomal RNA". The stretch from base 1 to 120 matches the Rfam family "5.8S ribosomal RNA", at positions 35 to 154 of the family's 154-position model. The record is from RNAcentral.